Molecule: ribosomal RNA, 477 nt
Filed under: uncultured anaerobic ammonium-oxidizing bacterium
Lineage: Bacteria
Description: bacterial SSU rRNA
Rfam family: Bacterial small subunit ribosomal RNA
Source: RNAcentral
UUCGCAAUGCCCGAAAGGGUGACGAAGCGACGCCGCGUGUGGGAAGAAGGCCUUCGGGUUGUAAACCACUGUCGGGAGUUAGGAAAUGUGAGGGUGUUAAUAGUAUCCUUACUUGACUAAGGCUCCGGAGGAAGCCACGGCUAACUCUGUGCCAGCAGCCGCGGUAAUACAGAGGCGGCAAGCGUUGUUCGGAAUUAUUGGGCGUAAAGAGCACGUAGGCGGCCUUGUAAGUCAGUUGUGAAAGCCUUCUGCUUAACGGAAGAACAGCAGCUGAUACUGCAAGGCUAGAGUGCGGAAGGGGAGAGUGGAACUUCUGGUGGAGCGGUGAAAUGCGUAGAUAUCAGAAGGAACACCGGCGGCGAAGGCGACUCUCUGGUCCGUAACUGACGCUGAGUGUGCGAAAGCUAGGGGAGCAAACGGGAUUAGAUACCCCGGUAGUCCUAGCCGUAAGCGAUGGGCACUAAGUAGAGGGGUUUU